This 483-nucleotide ribosomal RNA is filed under the name uncultured bacterium. Its description in RNAcentral is "partial 16S ribosomal RNA". It matches the Rfam family "Bacterial small subunit ribosomal RNA", at positions 28 to 523 of the family's 1533-position model. The record is from RNAcentral.
GACGAACGCUGGCGGCGUGCUUAACACAUGCAAGUCGAACGAUGAAGCCGGAGCUUGCUCCGGUGGAUUAGUGGCGAACGGGUGAGUAACACGUGAGCAAUCUGCCCUUGACUUUGGGAUAACUGCGGGAAACUGUAGCUAAUACCGGAUACGACACCUUGGGGCAUCCCAGGGUGUGGAAAGAAUUUCGGUCAAGGAUGAGCUCGCGGCCUAUCAGCUAGUUGGUGAGGUAAUGGCUCACCAAGGCGACGACGGGUAGCCGGCCUGAGAGGGUGACCGGCCAAACUGGAACUGAGACACGGUCCAGACUCCUACGGGAGGCAGCAGUGGGGAAUAUUGCACAAUGGGCGAAAGCCUGAUGCAGCAACGCCGCGUGAGGGAUGAAGGCCUUCGGGUUGUAAACCUCUUUUAGCAGGGAAGAAGCGAAAGUGACGGUACCUGCAGAAAAAGCACCGGCUAACUACGUGCCAGCAGCCGCGGUAA